GAUGGCAGACAACAGAAGGAAAGGAAAGUCCUUAUUUAUAAGAACACUGUGGAUACAAUACUGUUACCAGGACAACCACAUUCCCCAAGUACACCACUGACCAGGGCAGAAACAAGUCAUUAGCUGAGAGGCUGGCCCUACUGAGAAGAUGCUGAGGGAAGCAGGUAUUGAUGCUCAGAGAUGAAGACGUGAUGGCACUCAGAAGCUACAAAGGCCCGGAGCACAGGCAAUGCCCCGGGGAGUGUCAGAGGUAGGAAGGACCUGGAUCAAGACCAGAAAACAGGCCCUACAAGGAGCAAAUGCUCCUCCCAUGAACCACUGGAGGUCAGGAAGGAGGACAGCAGCGACUGGGGGAAAGGCUCUACAGGGGCUGCUGUGAGCAUCAGGAGGAUCUGCUGGGCAAGGCAUCAAAGCUUUUAUGGACCGAGGCAAACAGCAUUCCAAGUGGACGGACAUGCUGAGCAUUCUGUGCAUGUGGACAAGCUGCAGCCUAUGACGUCAUGUGUCCACAGUUGCCUUGAUAUAAUCUGGAACAGGACUGGAAAAAAUACAUGAGGAAAAAGAUCAUCACUGGAACAAGCUCAUUAAUCACAGAUCCAAUUACACUAAUAACCUGGCAGCAAAACCUCAUCAGAGUUAGUUUGGGCCAGCCCAGCAGGUAAUUAGCAUAUGGAUAAGUAAAAUAAAUGUGCACUCCUUUUUUUCAAAUGCAGUAAUCAAGAACUGAUGGUGUAUCUCAAUGGUACAGCACUUGCCUAACAUCUGUAAGGUCCUAGGUUCAAUUCCCAGCACAAGAAAGAAAAAAAAAUGACAUUAAAUGCAGCACUUCUGUACAUAAUUACAUGUAAACAAUGGUUUUCAGCUAUAUUUGCUAAGAAAUAAAGACUAUUCUGGAAGACAGAAAGUUCUGGAAGCAUCACUGCUGAAUUCAGUCUUGACUCUCCUGUACAAAUUUAUAUGUAUCUGUAGCCAU
This is a long non-coding RNA of Peromyscus eremicus (cactus mouse), 973 nucleotides long. RefSeq lists it as uncharacterized. NCBI's taxonomy places the organism in Eukaryota, Metazoa, Chordata, Mammalia, Rodentia, Cricetidae. The transcript has 3 exons. The record is from RefSeq and is a predicted model, not a curated record.